AGUAAUCGAAGCCACUUCCCUUCCAUCCUGGACUUCUCCAGAACCAUUACCUUAUUGACUACUUGAGCAAACAAAUGGAACCCAGUAGUCGGGACAAAGAUCUCAAACCAGCUUCAAUUCAUUCAGUUCUCGUCCGACUUUCGAAGCGUUCCAUUUUUUGUUAACACCAAAAUUUCUCCAUGUUUAUUUUUUUUGAUUUGAUUUGAUAAAUUAGAGCAAGUUAAGAUCGAAUUGGAAGAGCUUUGAAACAUGCCCUGUUGCAAGCGUCACGAAAUCCGCCGUAACCCGUGCCGCCGCCCAUCCUUUCUGGCCCGCCUCAACUGCCUUGAAUGCAAUCGACUGCUAAUCUUCAUGGUCGGAGUAGGACUUGGGGCGCUCUACAUACGCAAGUUCAAUGAAGCCCCGCAAACUGACAAGAAGAAAAAGUAGUCCCGGUCUAAAGACGGAGCAAAGCAGCGCUUGGGAUCAGUGCUCAAGGGAUGCAUCGAGAUGGAUGGUUCUGGACAUUGAACAUCCCAACAAAGCACCCUGCCAGCUCUACACCGUAUCGAUGCCACUUGGAAGGAGUGAUAAGGAUGGUUCUGGAAGUCAAGAAGCUCCGAGUCUCCGAUCAAGCCUUACGCAAGGAUCCGAGAAGUCCAACAGCAGAGCAAUUCGCUAAUUUGGCAAUUGGUAAUCGAUCAAGUUACAAUA
This is a long non-coding RNA of Drosophila miranda, 693 nucleotides long. RefSeq lists it as uncharacterized. NCBI's taxonomy places the organism in Eukaryota, Metazoa, Arthropoda, Insecta, Diptera, Drosophilidae. The transcript has 2 exons. The record is from RefSeq and is a predicted model, not a curated record.